GAAUCGUUAGCUCAGUUGGUUCAGAGCACUGCCUUGACAGGGCAGGGGUCGCCGGUUCGAGUCCGGCACGGUUCAC
This 76-nucleotide transfer RNA is filed under the name Bacteroidia bacterium. Its description in RNAcentral is "tRNA-Val". It matches the Rfam family "tRNA". From Rfam's summary of the family: Transfer RNA (tRNA) molecules are approximately 80 nucleotides in length. Their secondary structure includes four short double-helical elements and three loops (D, anti-codon, and T loops). Lineage: Bacteria; Pseudomonadati; Bacteroidota; Bacteroidia. The record is from RNAcentral.